GGUGACGACGGGCUAGGGGUCGUGGGAAUGCGGAGGGGGGAAGCUGGGUGCGGAAUGAUUGGGCGGAAAGCCCGGGCAGGCGGUCCCUUAAGGCUGAGGGGAAAGCCCACGGCUCAACCGUGGAGGGUCAUUGGAAACUGGGGGACUUGAGUACAGAAGAGGAAAGCGGAAUGCCACGUGUAGCGGUGAAAUGCGUAGAGAUGUGGAGGAACACCAGUGGCGAAGGCGGCUUUCUGGGCUGUAACUGACGCUGAGGCGCGAAAGCGUGGGGAGCAAACAGGAUUAGAUACCCGAGUAGUC
Molecule: ribosomal RNA, 300 nt
Filed under: uncultured Bacillus sp.
Lineage: Bacteria; Bacillati; Bacillota; Bacilli; Caryophanales; Bacillaceae
Description: bacterial SSU rRNA
Rfam family: Bacterial small subunit ribosomal RNA (bases 52-300)
Source: RNAcentral